AGCGAACGCUGGCGGCAGGCCUAGCACAUGCAAGUCGAACGGCAGCACAGUAAUAGCUUGCUCUUACGGGUGGCGAGUGGCGGAUGGGUCAGGAAUACACCGGAAUCUACUUUUUCGUGGGGGCUAACAUCGGGAAACUUACGCUGAUACCAGAUACGACCUCAGGGUGAAGGCAGGAGAUCUUCGGCCUUUGCGCGUGGGAAUGCGCCGAUGUGGGGUUGGCUAGUUGGCGGGGUAAAGGCACACCUGGGCGACGAUCCGUAGCUGGUGUGAGACGAUGAACAGCGACAGUGGAGCUGAGAGACGGUACAGAGUCCGACGGGCGGCAGCGGUGGGGAAUAUUGGAAGAUGGGCGCAAGCCUGAACCAGCGGUACCAGGUGGGUGAAGAAGGCCUUCGGGUUGUAAGACGGUUUUGUUGUGGAAGAAAGGCAGCACGUUAAUACCCCGCUGUUCUGACGGUAGCCGAAGAAGAAGCACCGGCUAACUUCGUG
This 492-nucleotide ribosomal RNA is filed under the name uncultured bacterium. Its description in RNAcentral is "partial 16S ribosomal RNA". It matches the Rfam family "Bacterial small subunit ribosomal RNA", at positions 30 to 507 of the family's 1533-position model. The record is from RNAcentral.